RNAcentral lists this ribosomal RNA (496 nucleotides) under uncultured bacterium. RNAcentral's name for it is "partial 16S ribosomal RNA". It matches the Rfam family "Bacterial small subunit ribosomal RNA", at positions 28 to 507 of the family's 1533-position model. The record is from RNAcentral.
GACGAACGCUGGCGGCGUGCCUAAUACAUGCAAGUUGAGCGCUGAAGGUUGUACUUGUACCAACUGGAUGAGCAGCGAACGGGUGAGUAACGCGUGGGGAAUCUGCCUUUGAGCGGGGGACAACAUUUGGAAACGAAUGCUAAUACCGCAUAAAAACUUUAAACACAAGUUUUAAGUUUGAAAGAUGCAAUUGCAUCACUCAAAGAUGAUCCCGCGUUGUAUUAGCUAGUUGGUGAGGUAAAGGCUCACCAAGGCGAUGAUACAUAGCCGACCUGAGAGGGUGAUCGGCCACAUUGGGACUGAGACACGGCCCAAACUCCUACGGGAGGCAGCAGUAGGGAAUCUUCGGCAAUGGACGAAAGUCUGACCGAGCAACGCCGCGUGAGUGAAGAAGGGUUUCGGAUCGUAAAACUCUGUUGGUAGAGAAGAACGUUGGUGAGAGUGGAAAGCUCAUCAAGUGACGGUAACUACCCAGAAAGGGACGGCUAACUACGUG